GAGUCUUUAUCCGGUCGUUGUCGUAUGCGGAGAGAGAGGAAGUAUAAAGUAUCUGAUGGUAUUGCGGCAAGUCUACGACAAGCUAUAUAUUUAUGUAAGAAGAAACGGACGUAAAAGUGAAUAAAAAACCAAUAUCGGUGACUUUCUACGGACGGAUUUGCCGGCUCUUUCAAUCCCAUCACAGCUGCCGCAUUCGACUACGGAAGUUGGAGAGCUGAAAUAAGUGGAGCCUUGGAGCUCUUGGUGGCAAACGACAACCGCUGAAUUAAUAAGGGAUCACCAAAGUGAAUCAUCUUUUAGUAUCGUUUUACCCGUUGGCUGUCAUCGACACGGUCUCUGCCCAACGAAAUCAACGUGGUGUUGACAUAUUCAACCCGUUCAGCUCGAAUCAUCUGGAUGCCUAGAAAACCAGAUCGUCGUUACUACAUAUGUACUGUAAUGACUGAGAGGAUGCGGCCUAGUUGAACCAAAAAGACAUCGGCACGACGACGACCACGACGGGUCUGCAACACGAUCGACAAGGAUCAUCUAUUAUUGUUGUUGGUAUGAUUUUUUUGUAAGUUGGCUGCCACGCAUUUUUCUCCCCAUGUUAGCUCCUUGACGGUGCGCGAAAGAGCUUCUAACACAUGCUAAACAAAUUACCUGAAUUUCAUGAUUCAAAAUGUUCAUGCUUCGCUUGAGGACCUAGUUAGUAGCUACCAAGUUAGUGAUUACUCAUAUCCAUGGACAUUAGUUA
This is a long non-coding RNA of Daphnia pulex (common water flea), 736 nucleotides long. RefSeq lists it as uncharacterized. Lineage: Eukaryota; Metazoa; Arthropoda; Branchiopoda; Diplostraca; Daphniidae. The transcript is spliced from 3 exons. The record is from RefSeq and is a predicted model, not a curated record.